UGGGGAAUCUUGCACAGUGGAGGAAACUCUGAUGCAGCGACGCCGCGUGAGCGAAGAAGCCUUUCGGGGUGUAAAGCUCUUACGCCAGGGACGAUAAUGACGGUACCUGGAGAAGCAGCUGCGGCUAACUACGUGCCAGCAGCCGCGGUAAUACGUAGGCAGCAAGCGUUGUUCGGAAUUACUGGGCGUAAAGGGUGCGUAGGCGGCGCUCUAAGUUUGGUGUGAAAUCUCCCGGCUUAACUGGGAGGGUGCACUGAAAACUGGGGCGCUCGAGUAUGGGAGAGGAAAGCGGAAUUCCUGGUGUAGCGGUGAAAUGCGUAGAGAUCAGGAGGAACACCUGCGGUGCAGACGGCUUUCUGGACCAUCACUGACGCUGAGGCACGAAAGCGUGGGUAGCAAACA
This 402-nucleotide ribosomal RNA is filed under the name uncultured bacterium. Its description in RNAcentral is "bacterial SSU rRNA". It matches the Rfam family "Bacterial small subunit ribosomal RNA", at positions 355 to 774 of the family's 1533-position model. The record is from RNAcentral.